AGUUCUCAACCACAUUGAUUUGCUCUGAUGUGGAUUGGACAUGGGAUUUGCAGGCCAUUUUUUAAAAAAGGUCUGCUCUUCUGAAAUACAUUAGUGGUAUCUGAGCAGAGACUACGUACAGGUGUGAUAACUAUCUAUGCCUACUGUAGAAUGCUGUAUGAACUGCUUCAACCCCCCCUUUUUUGACCA
Molecule: unclassified non-coding RNA, 189 nt
Filed under: Inocybe salicis
Lineage: Eukaryota; Fungi; Basidiomycota; Agaricomycetes; Agaricales; Inocybaceae
Description: partial internal transcribed spacer 2
Source: RNAcentral